AGAGUUUGAUCCUGGCUCAGAAUGAACGCUGGCGGCGUGCUUAACACAUGCAAGUCGAACGAGAAAGUCCCUUCGGGGGCGAGUACAGUGGCGGACGGGUGAGUAACACGUAAGAAUCUACCCUUUGGUGAAGAAUACCUUCGAGAAAUCGAAGUUAAUACUGCAUAAGUCGUUAAUCAGAGAUGAUUAAUGAGAAAGACGGCCUCUUGCUGUCGCCGAAGGAUGAGCUUGCGGACUAUUAGCUUGUUGGUGGGGUAAAAGCCUACCAAGGCGAUUAUGGUUAACCGGCCUGAGAGGGUGGACGGUCACAUUGGAACUGAGAUACGGUCCAGACUCCUACGGGAGGCAGCAGUGGGGAAUAUUGCACAAUGGGCGCAAGCCUGAUGCAGCGACGCCGCGUGGGGGAUGAAGGCUUUCGAGUCGUAAACUCCUGUUAAGAGGGAAGAAAAGCUAUUAACUAAUAAUUAGUAGUCAUGACGGUACCUCUAGAGAAAGCACCGGCUAACUUCGUGCCAGCAGCCGCGGUAAUACGAAGGGUGCUAGCGUUAUUCGGAAUUACUGGGCGUAAAGAGUGUGAAGGUGGUUAUUUAAGUCAGUUGUUAAAGAUCACGGCCUACCCGUGAAAAUGCGAUUGAUACUGGGUAACUAGAGGAUGGAAGAGAGAAGUGGAAUUGUCGGAGUAGCGGUAAAAUGCGUAGA
This 699-nucleotide ribosomal RNA is filed under the name uncultured bacterium. RNAcentral's name for it is "bacterial SSU rRNA". It matches the Rfam family "Bacterial small subunit ribosomal RNA", at positions 8 to 694 of the family's 1533-position model. The record is from RNAcentral.